GUAGGUGGCAAGCGUUGUCCGGAAUUAUUGGGCGUAAAGCGCGCGCAGGCGGGUUCUUUAAGUCUGAUGUGAAAGCCCACGGGCUCAACCGUGGAGGGUCAUUGGAAACUGGAGAACUUGAGUACAGAAGAGGAAAGCGGAAUUCCACGUGUAGCGGUGAAAUGCGUAGAGAUGUGGAGGAACACCAGUGGCGAAGGCGGCUUUCUGGUCUGUAACUGACGCUGAGGCGCGAAAGCGUGGGGAGCAAACAGGAUUAGAUACCCUGGUAGUCCACGCCGUAAACGAUGAGUGCUAAGUGUUAGGGGGUUUCCGCCCCUUAGUGCCGCAGCUAACGCAUUAAGCACUCCGCCUGGGGAGUACGGCCGCAAAGGCUG
Molecule: ribosomal RNA, 374 nt
Filed under: uncultured organism
Description: partial 16S ribosomal RNA
Rfam family: Bacterial small subunit ribosomal RNA
Source: RNAcentral